UGCGCUCCUCUCAAUCCCUGAGACCCUAACUUGUGAUGUUUACCGUUUCAAUCCACGGGUUAGGCUCUUGGGAGCUGCGAGCCGUGCC
This 88-nucleotide microRNA precursor is filed under the name Tursiops truncatus (common bottlenose dolphin). RNAcentral's name for it is "microRNA 125b-1 (ENSTTRG00000023208.1)". The stretch from base 9 to 79 matches the Rfam family "lin-4 microRNA precursor family", at positions 1 to 71 of the family's 80-position model. From Rfam's summary of the family: The extents of the hairpin precursors are not generally known and are estimated based on hairpin prediction. The products are thought to have regulatory roles through complementarity to mRNA. Lineage: Eukaryota; Metazoa; Chordata; Mammalia; Artiodactyla; Delphinidae. The record is from RNAcentral.